UACAGGGGGGGCAAGCGUUGUUCGGAAUUACUGGGCGUAAAGGGUUCGUAGGUGGCCACCUAAGUCAGACGUGAAAUCCCUCAGCUUAACCGGGGAACUGCGUCCGAUACUGGCAGGCUUGAAUCCGGGAGAGGGAUGUGGAAUUCCAGGUGUAGCGGUGAAAUGCGUAGAUAUCAAGAGGAACACCUGCGGCGAAGGCGGGUUGCUGGGCCGACACUGACGCUGAGGCGCGAAAGCCAGGGGAGCGAACGGG
Molecule: ribosomal RNA, 253 nt
Filed under: uncultured bacterium
Lineage: Bacteria
Description: partial 16S ribosomal RNA
Rfam family: Bacterial small subunit ribosomal RNA
Source: RNAcentral